This 474-nucleotide ribosomal RNA is filed under the name uncultured bacterium. RNAcentral describes it as "bacterial SSU rRNA". It matches the Rfam family "Bacterial small subunit ribosomal RNA", at positions 355 to 825 of the family's 1533-position model. The record is from RNAcentral.
UCGAGAAUCUUUCGCAAUGCCCGAAAGGGUGACGAAGCGACGCCGCGUGCGGGAGGAAGGCCUUCGGGUUGUAAACCGCUGUCGGGAGUUAAGAAAUGCAAGGAUGUUAAUAGCGUUCUUGCUUGACUAAGGCUCCGGAGGAAGCCACGGCUAACUCUGUGCCAGCAGCCGCGGUAAUACAGAGGCGGCAAGCGUUGUUCGGAAUUAUUGGGCGUAAAGAGCACGUAGGCGGCUGUGUAAGUCGGUUGUGAAAGCCUUCCGCUUAACGGAAGAACGGCAUCCGAUACUGCAUAGCUUGAGUGCGGGAGGGGAGAGUGGAACUUCUGGUGGAGCGGUGAAAUGCGUAGAUAUCAGAAGGAACACCGGCGGCGAAGGCGACUCUCUGGUCCGUAACUGACGCUGAGUGUGCGAAAGCUAGGGGAGCAAACGGGAUUAGAUACCCCAGUAGUCCCUGAGCGGGCUGGCAAGGCGCAU